Molecule: ribosomal RNA, 875 nt
Filed under: Sanguinoderma microporum
Lineage: Eukaryota; Fungi; Basidiomycota; Agaricomycetes; Polyporales; Polyporaceae
Description: partial 28S ribosomal RNA
Rfam family: Eukaryotic large subunit ribosomal RNA
Source: RNAcentral
CCCCUAGUAACUGCGAGUGAAGCGGGAAAAGCUCAAAUUUAAAAUCUGGCGGUCUUUGGCCGUCCGAGUUGUAGUCUGGAGAAGUGCUUUCCGCGCUGGACCGUGUAUAAGUCUCUUGGAACAGAGCGUCAUAGAGGGUGAGAAUCCCGUCUUUGACACGGACUACCAGUGCUUUGUGAUGCGCUCUCAAAGAGUCGAGUUGUUUGGGAAUGCAGCUCAAAAUGGGUGGUGAAUUCCAUCUAAAGCUAAAUAUUGGCGAGAGACCGAUAGCGAACAAGUACCGUGAGGGAAAGAUGAAAAGCACUUUGGAAAGAGAGUUAAACAGUACGUGAAAUUGCUGAAAGGGAAACGCUUGAAGUCAGUCGCGUUGUCUGGAACUCAGCCUUGCUUUUGCUUGGUGCAUUUUCCGGAUGACGGGCCAGCAUCGAUUUUGACCGUCGGAAAAGGGCUAGGGUAAUGUGGCACCUCCGGGUGUGUUAUAGACUCUAGUCGCAUACGGCGGUCGGGAUCGAGGAACGCAGCGCGCCGUAAGGCAGGGGUUCGCCCACUUUCGCGCUUAGGAUGCUGGCGUAAUGGCUUUAAACGACCCGUCUUGAAACACGGACCAAGGAGUCUAACAUACCUGCGAGUGUUUGGGUGGAAAACCCGAGCGCGUAAUGAAAGUGAAAGUUGAGACCUCUGUCGUGGAGGGCAUCGACGCCCGGACCUGACGUUCUCUGACGGAUCCGCGGUAGAGCAUGUAUGUUGGGACCCGAAAGAUGGUGAACUAUGCCUGAAUAGGGUGAAGCCAGAGGAAACUCUGGUGGAGGCUCGUAGCGAUUCUGACGUGCAAAUCGAUCGUCAAAUUUGGGUAUAGGGGCGAAAGACUAAUCGAA